UACGGGGGGGGCAAGCGUUGUUCGGAAUUACUGGGCGUAAAGGGCUCGUAGGUGGCCAACUAAGUCGAACGUGAAAUCCCUAGGCUCAACCUAGGAACUGCGUCCGAUACUGGCAGGCUUGAAUUCGGGAGAGGGAUGCGGAAUUCCAGGUGUAGCGGUGAAAUGCGUAGAUAUCUGGAGGAACACCGGUGGCGAAGGCGGCAUCCUGGACCGAGAUUGACGCUGAGGCGCGAAAGCCAGGGGAGCAAACGGG
RNAcentral lists this ribosomal RNA (253 nucleotides) under uncultured bacterium. Its description in RNAcentral is "partial 16S ribosomal RNA". It matches the Rfam family "Bacterial small subunit ribosomal RNA", at positions 524 to 776 of the family's 1533-position model. The record is from RNAcentral.